This is a long non-coding RNA of Physeter macrocephalus (sperm whale), 347 nucleotides long. RefSeq lists it as uncharacterized. Lineage: Eukaryota; Metazoa; Chordata; Mammalia; Artiodactyla; Physeteridae. The transcript has 3 exons. The record is from RefSeq and is a predicted model, not a curated record.
CACCGAUGCAAAGGCCCCAGUGUCUCCCUCCUGCCCACUAGCCACCCAGGACUCUGCCGACCCCACUGGGUGCUGAUGUAAUUACCAAUAUGAGGAUGAAUAUUUAAAGGAACUUUUAUUUAACCGUGUCCUUCCCUUGUGUGGGAUGGAAGAGAGAAGCAACUGGGUGUAGCUGAGAGUUCCAUGUCCUACGAAGUGAAUUCUCCAUUCAGAGGGCAGUACUCUCCUUGGCAAAACGGUCAGGAUAGUGUGUCUCCUGGACCAGUGACAUUAACCACCUACACCCUGAGCGGGAGAACAGGUGGGACUGCCAAUGACCUCCCAUACCAACUGGCUCUGCCAACCCC